Molecule: ribosomal RNA, 1299 nt
Filed under: Triticum aestivum (bread wheat)
Lineage: Eukaryota; Viridiplantae; Streptophyta; Magnoliopsida; Poales; Poaceae
Description: partial small subunit ribosomal RNA
Source: RNAcentral
AUGACCUCCGCCGUCGCGAGUAGCCUGGUCCCUGCCGCAGCAGCAGCCGCGCCCGCUGUGUCCACCUAUGGGUGUCGCGCCUCGUUCGGCCGUGAUGCGCCUGAGGAGACGCCGGCUGUAGUGUCUUCUGCUUCGCCCGUGCACCCCGCCGUGGCCGCGCCCGCGAUCUCCAAGGACUUCAUCGACUUCGAGUUCAGCCUCGGCGGCGGCGGCUGCACCACCAGCAUGCUCCCCGCGGACGAGCUCUUCGCCGACGGGAAGCUGCUCCCGCUCCGCCGGGCCGCUGCCGCUGCCGCUGCCGCGCCUGAGCCGGAUGCUGCCGCGGCGGCGGCACCACCGCCGCGGCUGGAGGCAAUGCCGGCGUCUCCGGAGCCGAUGAGGCCGAUCCGCGGCGGCGCGGCGGCUGGCGCUGCGGACCAGUACGUGUUCUCCCCCAAGGCGCCCAGCUGCUCAAGCCGGUGGCGCGAGCUGCUCGGGCUCAAGAGGGCGGCCGCCGCGCAGAGCCCGAGGACGCCCUCCUCGCACUCGCAGCCUCAGUCGCCAGCGGCCGCAUUGGCGAAGACUCCCGGGAGAACGACGACGACGACGGCGGGCUCGUCGGCGGCGAGGUCGCUCAAGUUCCUCCUCCAGCGGAGCAACGGCGGGCGGGCGUCCACGGGCACGGCGUCGGACCUCGCGUCGGCGCCGCUCCUCCGCGACAGCUCCGACUCGGAGGCCUCGCUCUCGCUCGCCUCCUCCCGCUUCUCGCACUCCUCCUCGUCCUCCUCCUCCGGCCACGAUCACGACGACGUCAACCCGCGCUUCUCCCUCGACUCCGCCGCCGACCCCAACCCUCCGCGCCUCCGCCUCGUCCGCUCCUCGCACCGCCACUCCACCUCCAGCCGCGCGGCCCACAGCCCCGCGCGCCGCCGGCCGUCGCCGCCCAGGCAGGACGCGUCGAGGUGCCUCUCCGUGGACUCCCCGCGCAUGAACUCCUCGGGCAAGAUCGUGUUCCAGCAGGGGCUGGAGCGCAGCUGCAGCUCCCCGUGCAGCCUCCACGCCGCCGCCAGGUCCCGGUCCAUGGCCCGCGCCGUGGACCGGUCCUACUCGUCCGGCGUCCGCGUGGCGCCCGUGGUGCUCAACGUGCCGGUCUGCUCGCGGCCGGUGUUCGGCUUCUUCAAGGACAAGAAGGAGUCGGCGGCCAGCAAGGACUCAUCCUCAGCGAGGUCGUCGUCCCGGUCGUCGACCCUGGGCCGGAAGCAGACGCCGACGCCGACGCCGCAGCGGUGGAGCGGCGAGCUGCCGAGGCCCUGCGGGUGA